GAUGAACGCUGGCGGCGUGCCUAAUACAUGCAAGUCGAGCGAACGGACGAGAAGCUUGCUUCUCUGACGUUAGCGGCGGACGGGUGAGUAACACGUGGAUAACCUACCUAUAAGACUGGGAUAACUUCGGGAAACCGGAGCUAAUACCGGAUAAUAUUUUGAACCGCAUGGUUCAAAAGUGAAAGACGGUCUUGCUGUCACUUAUAGAUGGAUCCGCGCUGCAUUAGCUAGUUGGUAAGGUAACGGCUUACCAAGGCAACGAUGCAUAGCCGACCUGAGAGGGUGAUCGGCCACACUGGAACUGAGACACGGUCCAGACUCCUACGGGAGGCAGCAGUAGGGAAUCUUCCGCAAUGGGCGAAAGCCUGACGGAGCAACGCCGCGUGAGUGAUGAAGGUCUUCGGAUCGUAAAACUCUGUUAUUAGGGAAGAACAUAUGUGUAAGUAACUGUGCACAUCUUGACGGUACCUAAUCAGAAAGCCACGGCUAACUACGUGCCAGCAGCCGCGGUAAUACGUAGGUGGCAAGCGUUAUCCGGAAUUAUUGGGCGUAAAGCGCGCGUAGGCGGUUUUUUAAGUCUGAUGUGAAAGCCCACGGCUCAACCGUGGAGGGUCAUUGGAAACUGGAAAACUUGAGUGCAGAAGAGGAAAGUGGAAUUCCAUGUGUAGCGGUGAAAUGCGCAGAGAUAUGGAGGAACACCAGUGGCGAAGGCGACUUUCUGGUCUGUAACUGACGCUGAUGUGCGAAAGCGUGGGGAUCAAACAGGAUUAGAUACCCUGGUAGUCCACGCCGUAAACGAUGAGUGCUAAGUGUUAGGGGGUUUCCGCCCCUUAGUGCUGCAGCUAACGCAUUAAGCACUCCGCCUGGGGAGUACGACCGCACGGUUGAAACUCAAAGGAAUUGACGGGGACCCGCACAAGCGGUGGAGCAUGUGGUUUAAUUCGAAGCAACGCGAAGAACCUUACCAAAUCUUGACAUCCUUUGACAACUCUAGAGAUAGAGCUUUCCCCUUCGGGGGACAAAGUGACAGGUGGUGCAUGGUUGUCGUCAGCUCGUGUCGUGAGAUGUUGGGUUAAGUCCCGCAACGAGCGCAACCCUUAAGCUUAGUUGCCAUCAUUAAGUUGGGCACUCUAAGUUGACUGCCGGUGACAAACCGGAGGAAGGUGGGGAUGACGUCAAAUCAUCAUGCCCCUUAUGAUUUGGGCUACACACGUGCUACAAUGGACAAUACAAAGGGCAGCGAAACCGUGAGGUCAAGCAAAUCCCAUAAAUUUGUUCUCAGUUCGGAUUGUAGUCUGCAACUCGACUACAUGAAGCUGGAAUCGCUAGUAAUCGUAGAUCAGCAUGCUACGGUGAAUACGUUCCCGGGUCU
This 1372-nucleotide ribosomal RNA is filed under the name uncultured bacterium. RNAcentral describes it as "bacterial SSU rRNA". It matches the Rfam family "Bacterial small subunit ribosomal RNA", at positions 28 to 1381 of the family's 1533-position model. The record is from RNAcentral.